GAAAGAAACGCCGAACGGGGGAACCUCGGCGGGUUUUUGGGGUAAGUUUUUGAUUUUGGUGUGUCCGAGAGAGGCUACUCCGUGGGGCGCCAUCUCAAACCCUAGAGAUUCUUGUGAGAGGACUCUCUGCUGCAUUAAAUCCCAAAAGAUCCCAAGAUCUCCUCUCCGAUUCUUUGAUAGCUGGCUCCCAUUUCCCCCAUCAAAACCUCAUUUUUCUGCUCGUUUCUGUGCUGCUUCCCUUCUCCUGAUCCGGAAUUCAGGUACAUUUCUUUCUCCAAGAUCGCUUUUUUAUCUUAUUGGGUUGGUGAAUGAACUCGUGGUGAGCUAAUAGGGUUAAAUGCUGCUUUUAAUGUGCCACUUUAGAUGAUUCAUGUGUGAAUUUGAUGCUGAAUCAUGGAAAAAGAUUGUUUUUUUAUGGGUUAAAGGAUAGGAGAUCUUCUUUAUCUUAAUGUGUAAUGCGCGUUUUAGUUACUGGUGCUAAUCAUUGGAGUUUUGAGGAUGCUGUGAUACCGGUAAGAAAUUCUUUUAUCCUUUCAUCUCGCCUAUGCUGCUAUUUUGAUAGGUUUAUGAUUUUUUGUGUGCGGGUAUAAUUUGAUGCGGAAUUACGGGGCCCCAAAAAUCCUGGGUUUUGGAUGACUAUUUUCUCUUCUUUUCUUUAUUUAUAUGGAAACAGCAUGCGUGCAGCUUUUGGUUUUUCUUAAGGUGGACUUUGACACAAUGACACUAACGAGUUUUGUCCUUCACUCAAGCAG
RNAcentral lists this long non-coding RNA (752 nucleotides) under Elaeis guineensis (African oil palm). RNAcentral's name for it is "long non-coding RNA (EGUI_LNC075377)". Lineage: Eukaryota; Viridiplantae; Streptophyta; Magnoliopsida; Arecales; Arecaceae. The record is from RNAcentral.